This 466-nucleotide ribosomal RNA is filed under the name uncultured bacterium. RNAcentral describes it as "partial 16S ribosomal RNA". It matches the Rfam family "Bacterial small subunit ribosomal RNA", at positions 28 to 507 of the family's 1533-position model. The record is from RNAcentral.
GAUGAACGCUGGCGGCGUGCUUAACACAUGCAAGUCGAACGAUGAAGCCCAGCUUGCUGGGUGGAUUAGUGGCGAACGGGUGAGUAACACGUGAGUAACCUGCCCUCAACUCUGUGAUAAGCCUUGAAAACUGGGUCUAAUACCGGAUAGGAGCGUCCACCGCAUGGUGGGAGUUGGAAAGAUUUAGCGGUUUUGGAUUGGCACGCGGCUUAUCAGCUUGUUGGUGAGGGAAUGGGUCACCAAGGCGACGGCGGGUAGCCGGCCUGAGAGGGUGACCGGCCACACUGGGACUGAGACACGGACCAGACUCCUACGGGAGGCAGCAGUGGGGAAUAUUGCACAAUGGGCGCAAGCCUGAUGCAGCGACGCCGCGUGAGGGAUGACGGCCUUCGGGUUGUAAACAGCUUUCAGUAGGGAAGAAGCGAAAGUGACGGUACCUGCAGAAGAAGCACCGGCUAACUACGUG